Long non-coding RNA from Oncorhynchus tshawytscha (Chinook salmon), 748 nucleotides. The record is from Ensembl. NCBI's taxonomy places the organism in Eukaryota, Metazoa, Chordata, Actinopteri, Salmoniformes, Salmonidae.
AAAUUUAUUCCUUUCAGAAAAUAACUUACAUUCCAGAACACACACAUUGUGACAGCAUAUUUCCAGUGUUCCUUUUCUUGUAAUUUUUCUUAAGUUGCAUUUACACAGGAAGCCCAAUUCUGAUCUUUUGGCCCCAAUAUUGGCAAAAGAUCUGAUCUGAUUGGGCAAGAGAUCAGAAUUGGGCAACCGGUGUGAACGUAGCCUUACACACAGUAAAGAGGUUAGACAUUGCAUUAUCAGAAGGAUUUCUGGCGGAUAUAUUUACACGUACAGUACAUUCAGAUCAACAUCAUAAAAAGGUCCAUCCUAUCAGAUCAGUGAUAAAAAGGUCCAUCCUAUCAGAUCAGCGUGAUAAAAAGGUCCAUCCUAUCAGAUCAGCGUGAUAAAAAGGUCCAUCCUAUCAGAUCUGCGUGAUAAAAAGGUCCAUCCUAUCAGAUCAGUGAUAAAAAGGUCCAUCCUAUCAGAUCUGCGUGAUAAAAAGGUCCAUCCUAUCAGAUCAGUGAUAAAAAGGUCCAUCCUAUCAGAUCAGUGAUAAAAAGGUCCAUCCUAUCAGAUCAGUGAUAAAAAGGUCCAUCCUAUCAGAUCAGUGAUAAAAAGGUCCAUCCUAUCAGAUCAGCGUGAUAAAAAGGUCCAUCCUAUCAGAUCAGCGUGAUAAAAAGGUCCAUCCUAUCAGAUCUGCGUGAUAAAAAGGUCCAUCCUAUCAGAUCAGUGAUAAAAAGGUCCAUCCUAUCAGAUCAGUGAUAAAAAG